RNAcentral lists this ribosomal RNA (492 nucleotides) under uncultured bacterium. Its description in RNAcentral is "partial 16S ribosomal RNA". It matches the Rfam family "Bacterial small subunit ribosomal RNA", at positions 29 to 507 of the family's 1533-position model. The record is from RNAcentral.
AGUGAACGCUGGCGGUAGGCCUAACACAUGCAAGUCGAACGGCAGCACAGUAAGAGCUUGCUCUUACGGGUGGCGAGUGGCGGACGGGUGAGGAAUACAUCGGAAUCUACUUUUUCGUGGGGGAUAACGUAGGGAAACUUACGCUAAUACCGCAUACGACAUACGGGUGAAAGCAGGGGAUCUUCGGACCUUGCGCGAUUGAAUGAGCCGAUGUCGGAUUAGCUAGUUGGCGGGGUAAAGGCUCACCAAGGCGACGAUCCGUAGCUGGUCUGAGAGGAUGAUCAGCCACACUGGAACUGAGACACGGUCCAGACUCCUACGGGAGGCAGCAGUGGGGAAUAUUGGACAAUGGGCGCAAGCCUGAUCCAGCCAUACCGCGUGGGUGAAGAAGGCCUUCGGGUUGUAAAGCCCUUUUGUUGGGAAAGAAAAGCAGCAGGUUAAUACCCCGCUGUUCUGACGGUACCCAAAGAAUAAGCACCGGCUAACUUCGUG